Molecule: long non-coding RNA, 1266 nt
Organism: Anguilla rostrata (American eel)
Lineage: Eukaryota; Metazoa; Chordata; Actinopteri; Anguilliformes; Anguillidae
Exons: 2
Source: RefSeq, a predicted model, not a curated record
GUUGAUGCCGGAAGUGAUGGGCAAGCCCGUUUGUUUAAUUUGUGGAGAAGCUGUUGUCGUUCUCAAAAAGCGCAAUCUCGAGAGACAUGACACCUGCAGACAUGCAAUAUAUGUUACUCCUGAAGGAAUGGUGCGAGUGGAGAAAAUCAAGGCGUUGUCGCUGCACAACAAGUGUCUUAUCCUGCGGCCUGAAAAGGAGCUGGGCUGUGUCUCAGAGGCAAGUUACGUGGAAAUGCUUGAUUUCUUGGCCACCAGAAGAGCUGCUCACAGACUGCUGCUGCUGUUGACGUGUGAGGAAGAAAAUGGCCAUCUCCAGGAUGUCUGCUUUCUCCAGCUUGGAGUCUGGCUGCUGCUGCAGGAAUGCUGGUCCAAGGAGAGACUUGAGCUGCUCAAUGCUGCUGUUGAUACGAUCUCUGCGCAUCUUCUCCCCCAUCGGUUUUCUCAGCUGCACGAACAAGACAGGAAAUCUGUUAAUAAUCUGGAUCUGGAAUACAACAUGACUGAAGCUAAUGAAAAAUGACAUACGCAUUUCUUCAGAGAUCAAGUUCUGAAUUUACCUUAUUGGUCAGAAUCAGGUGCUCCUUAGGGCAGGUCAUUGCUGCAGGUACUGUAGGUGCCAUGGCUGUGUGUCUGUGCUGUAGAGGUCUCUGUGUAGAGUGAGUCUGAUCUGUGCUGGCUUCACCUCUCUUAUUUAUAGUCCCAAAUCUACAUACCAAUGUGUGGGUCUUGCUCUUGUUGGAGUUUCCCACAGUAUGCAGCCAAUGGGAGAGCUUGUGGGGACAAUGAGGCACGUGUGGCUGUCACAUGCUGAAUGAAGUGCUUAUUGCUGGGGGACAAUGGCUGUGUCUCAGGGGAACAGGUGGAGGGGUGGGGGUGAUGGAGAGAGAGUCACAGAGAGCUGAGAGAAUCUGGGAAUAUGGUGACCCUUGAGAGAGCAGAUCUGCUGCCUGAUGUUGGGAUCAAUGAUACAGACAGAGCACACGCUCAUCAUCUCCAUGUACACGUGUGGGACUGACACACAUCUCCAGCAUCACACUUUACUCUGCUCCAUGAUCCAACAUGACAUCUGCAUUCUUCACUGUAGCCUUCUCUCACACAUAUAUACACUGUCAGUCAGAUUUUACAGCUUUCAGAUGGAUUUGACCUCAAAGAAAACUGCAGGUGCUUCACACUUCACACUUGGAGCUUUUCAACCAUCAAUAUUUUAUUGAUUGUGCAUAUUUGGGAUUCAUAUUUUAAAAAUAAAAGAAAUUGAUGUUUUGGCUA